AUGAUGUUGAUUCCACUCACCAUCACUCCCUUCAUCUUUCUUCUUGCUGGAACUCUGGAGAAGAGGCUACAGAUGGAUGGAAGAGGGAUUGGAGAUUGGAUUUAUUGGAUGAUUGGAUGAAUUCUAGGUUGAGGCUUUGGGACUUAUUUAUAAGUGCUAGGAGGCAUCAAGUUUAAUUGGUUAAGCAAUAUGGGACUAAUAAAAGCA
Molecule: long non-coding RNA, 207 nt
Filed under: Elaeis guineensis (African oil palm)
Lineage: Eukaryota; Viridiplantae; Streptophyta; Magnoliopsida; Arecales; Arecaceae
Description: long non-coding RNA (EGUI_LNC005518)
Source: RNAcentral